This 24-nucleotide transfer RNA is filed under the name Sminthopsis macroura (stripe-faced dunnart). Its description in RNAcentral is "partial tRNA-Pro". The record is from RNAcentral. Lineage: Eukaryota; Metazoa; Chordata; Mammalia; Dasyuromorphia; Dasyuridae.
CAGGGAGUAGUUUAAAGUAGAAUG